Cyprinus carpio carpio is the source of this 1145-nucleotide long non-coding RNA. The record is from Ensembl. Lineage: Eukaryota; Metazoa; Chordata; Actinopteri; Cypriniformes; Cyprinidae.
GUUCGAGAGAGAGAGAGGAGCGGUGUGCACAUAGGCUUCCUGCUUUACAAGCAAAGGAUAAAAGGGCUAUUCAGAGGAGUUUCGGCGCGGUGGGUCUUUGUGGAGCAGUUUUGGGCACAAGCUUGCCCAGGGAAGUUAUUUGGGCGUGAAGGUUUCCUGUUGAAGUCUCCGGGGAAAAGGUUUUUCUAUUGAAGUCUGCUGGAACAGAGUUCGUCUGUGGGAAUCUGCUGGACUGAUUUAUCGAUUGGAUCUGCGCUGUGAAGGGAGAGAGAAAGAUAAGUGAAUUGAUUUCAUCUUACAAACAUUCGAAAAGCUUGAAGAGGAUACAGUGAAUGUAAAUCUGACUGUUGGGGAAGCUAUGUGUUUCAGAGUGUGCUGAAGAGGAAUUGAGGAUUGAAUAUCCCCCACGGGAGUGUAACGAAUGGAUUGAGACCUCUGAUCAGCCUUACCAAUCCCUUACCUGUCUAUUUACCACCUGAGUCCUGGAAGUAUGCAGCAUCGCUGGUGAAGUAAGCUUUUAAGCCACUGUCUCACUCACGUGCACCGACGCCAGUAUCCUGUACUGAGAAGACUUCUUACCUCCCUAGGUACCGUCUGAGUCUGGAAGUACGCAGCAUCGCUGAGGAAGUAAGCUUUUAAAUUAUUCUUUCUAAUGUGCCCCGGCGAAAGUAUUCUGUACUGCGAGGGAUGCUUACCUGUCUACUCACCGUCGGAGUCCCGAAGGAUGCAGUAUUUCUGCCCUAGGAAGGAACAUAUUGCUGUGGGGAAAUUCUUGCCUUCUUACUUACCGUCUGAGUCUGGAAGUAUGCAGCAUUGCUGAGGAAGCAAGCUUUUAAAUUACUCUUUCUCUAAUGUGCCCUGACGAAAGUAUUCUGUACUGCGAAGAACCCUGACCUGUCUACUCACCGACGGAGUCCUGAAGAAUGCAGCAUUGUUGGUGAAACUCACUGCCCGAGUCUUGAAGAGAGCCGCCCUAUUGGUGAAGUCGCCGUCAGGGCGAAACUGCGACGUACGAUCAUUACCUCUUGUCUGCGUUGUCCAUCUGUUGCGGACCUGUGGUGUCGGCUCCUCACGGUGGGGUCUAAGUAAGGGGUGGCUGGUCAUCCGAGUCCACCCCGGUGACAUAAAGUGGCGUAGUCGGCAGG